AACGCACAUUGCGCCCCCUGGUAUUCCGGGGGGCAUGCCUGUCCGAGCGUCAUUACUGCCUUCAAGCCCGGCUUGUGUGUUGGGUCACCGUCCCCUGCUCCCUAGGGGACGGGCCCGAAAGGCAGCGGCGGCACCGCGCCCAGUCCUCGAGCGUAUAGGGCUCUGUCACCUGCUCUGUAGGCCUGGCCGGCGCCUGCCGACCCCCAAUCAUCUUCUCUAGGUUGACCUCGGAUCAGGUAGGGAUACCCGCUGAACUUAA
This 259-nucleotide unclassified non-coding RNA is filed under the name uncultured fungus. RNAcentral's name for it is "partial contains 5.8S ribosomal RNA, internal transcribed spacer 2, and large subunit ribosomal RNA". The stretch from base 1 to 52 matches the Rfam family "5.8S ribosomal RNA", at positions 103 to 154 of the family's 154-position model. Lineage: Eukaryota; Fungi. The record is from RNAcentral.